RNAcentral lists this ribosomal RNA (400 nucleotides) under uncultured bacterium. Its description in RNAcentral is "bacterial SSU rRNA". It matches the Rfam family "Bacterial small subunit ribosomal RNA", at positions 356 to 773 of the family's 1533-position model. The record is from RNAcentral.
GGGGAAUAUUGCGCAAUGGGGGAAACCCUGACGCAGCAACGCCGCGUGAGUGAAGAAGGCCUUAGGGCUGUAAAGCUCUGUCAUAUGGGAAGAUAAUGACGGUACCAUAAGAGGAAGCCACGGCUAACUACGUGCCAGCAGCCGCGGUAAUACGUAGGUGGCGAGCGUUGUCCGGAUUUACUGGGCGUAAAGGAUGCGUAGGCGGAUAUUUAAGUGGGAUGUGAAAUCCCCGAGCUUAACUCGGGGGCUGCAUUCCAAACUGGAUAUCUAGAGUGUCGGAGGGGAAAGUGGAAUUCCUAGUGUAGCGGUGAAAUGCGUAGAGAUUAGGAAGAACACCAGUGGCGAAGGCGACUUUCUGGACGAUAACUGACGCUGAGGCAUGAAAGCGUGGGGAGCAAAC